This 452-nucleotide ribosomal RNA is filed under the name uncultured eukaryote. RNAcentral describes it as "bacterial SSU rRNA". It matches the Rfam family "Eukaryotic small subunit ribosomal RNA", at positions 1214 to 1675 of the family's 1831-position model. The record is from RNAcentral.
CUCACCAGGUCAGGACACGGUAAGGAUUGACGGACUGAAGGCUCUUUCUCGAUUCCGUGGAAAGUGGUGCAUGGCCGUUUUUGGUUGGUGGAUCGAUCCGUCUGGUUAAUUCCGUUAACGAACGAGACCUCGGCACUCCGAAUAGCGCGGCGGACGUCGCGGCCUCCGGGCCGUCUUCCGCACGAGCUUCUUAGAGGGGACCGUCCCCCGCCGGGGAAGGAGGUGCGAGGCAACGACAGGUCUGUGAUGCCCUUAGAUGUUCUGGGCCGCACGCGCAUUACACUGACGCGUCCAACGGGUGACUCCCGACCCGAAGGGGCCGGGGAAUCCGCAAGGCGCGUCGUGAUGGGGAUUGAACGUUGCAAUUGUUGUUCACGAACGAGGAAUUCCUAGUAGGCGCGGGUCAUCAACCCCGCGCCGAUUACGUCCCUGCCCUUUGUACACACCGCCCA